CAGUAGCCGCGGGAAUACGUAGGGUCCGAGCGUUGUCCGGAAUUAUUGGGCGUAAAGAGCUCGUAGGCGGUCUGUCGCGUCUGCCGUGAAAUCCUCAGGCUCAACCUGAGGCGUGCGGUGGGUACGGGCAGGCUAGAGUGCGGUAGGGGAGAAUGGAACUCCUGGUGUAGCGGUGGAAUGCGCAGAUAUCAGGAAGAACACCGAUGGCGAAGGCAGUUCUCUGGGCCGUAACUGACGCUGAGGAGCGAAAGCGUGGGGAGCGAACAGGAUUAGAUACCCGCGUAGUCCCUGUCUCUUAUAC
This 301-nucleotide ribosomal RNA is filed under the name uncultured bacterium. Its description in RNAcentral is "partial 16S ribosomal RNA". It matches the Rfam family "Bacterial small subunit ribosomal RNA", at positions 509 to 807 of the family's 1533-position model. The record is from RNAcentral.